AGAGCUGGGGUUUUCUGUACUCUAGGGGGGGGAAAGCGUAAGGGCUGGGUCAGAGGGUGCCCUGGGCCCCCCUUAUUUGUUCUUUUCGGCUGCUGGCAUAUCUUACUGUUCCUGUUAUAUGAAUGUGGGAGUGAUCGUGGCCUGCCCCCACCUCCCUGCGUUUCCAUUGGAAUUUCAAGCCAGAUGUGACUGCAGCUGAUUUCCAGUCUGAGUAGGUGGUAUCACAUGUUCGCUGUUCACUUUUGGACUAUUAUUUAAAAACACAACUUGGAUGGUUAUACUUGGACAGGGUGCUUCUGCUUCCCACGGGUUGUAUUAGCUUUUCAUCUUUUCAUGCAUCUGGAAGGAAACAGGUGGAUGCAAUGUCUGCUAGGUGUGGCUCCCCCUACAAGUGGGUGCUGUGCCGCAGGGAAGCCGAUAAGCAAACCGCCUGGGAAGUACGUCCGCAAGGAUGAAACUUAAAGGAAUGNGGGGGGGG
RNAcentral lists this ribosomal RNA (478 nucleotides) under uncultured Halorubrum sp. Its description in RNAcentral is "partial 16S ribosomal RNA". It matches the Rfam family "Archaeal small subunit ribosomal RNA", at positions 397 to 875 of the family's 1478-position model. Lineage: Archaea; Methanobacteriati; Methanobacteriota; Halobacteria; Halobacteriales; Haloferacaceae. The record is from RNAcentral.